RNAcentral lists this ribosomal RNA (497 nucleotides) under uncultured bacterium. RNAcentral describes it as "partial 16S ribosomal RNA". It matches the Rfam family "Bacterial small subunit ribosomal RNA", at positions 28 to 507 of the family's 1533-position model. The record is from RNAcentral.
GAUGAACGCUGGCGGCGUGCCUAAUACAUGCAAGUCGAGCGAACAGACGAGGAGCUUGCUCCUCUGACGGUAGCGGCGGACGGGUGAGUAACACGUGGAUAACCUACCUAUAAGACUGGGAUAACUUCGGGAAACCGGAGCUAGUACCGGAUAAUAUAUUGAACCGCAUGGUUCAAUAGUGAAAGACGGUUUUGCUGUCACUUAUAGAUGGAUCCGCGCCGCAUUAGCUAGUUGGUAAGGUAACGGCUUACCAAGGCAACGAUGCGUAGCCGACCUGAGAGGGUGAUCGGCCACACUGGAACUGAGACACGGUCCAGACUCCUACGGGAGGCAGCAGUAGGGAAUCUUCCGCAAUGGGCGAAAGCCUGACGGAGCAACGCCGCGUGAGUGAUGAAGGUCUUCGGAUCGUAAAACUCUGUUAUUAGGGAAGAACAAAUGUGUAAGUAACUAUGCACGUCUUGACGGUACCUAAUCAGAAAGCCACGGCUAACUACGUG